GACGUAGGGGGCGAGCGUUGUCCGGAAUUACUGGGCGUAAAGAGCACGUAGGCGGGUAAUUAAGUCAGAUGUGAAAGACCGGGGCCCAACCUCGGGGUUGCAUCUGAAACUGGUUAUCUUGAGGGCAGGAGAGGAAAGUGGAAUUCCUGGUGUAGCGGUGAAAUGCGUAGAAAUCAGGAGGAAUACCAGUGGCGAAGGCGGCUUUCUGGACUGACCCUGACGCUGAGGUGCGAAAGCGUGGGUAGCAAACAGGAUUAGAUACCCUGGUAGUCCACGCUGUAAACGAUGGAUACUAGGUGUGGGAGGUAUCGACCCCUUCCGUGCCGGAGCUAACGCAAUAAGUAUCCCGCCUGGGGAGUACGGUCGCAAGGCUGAA
Molecule: ribosomal RNA, 376 nt
Filed under: uncultured bacterium
Lineage: Bacteria
Description: bacterial SSU rRNA
Rfam family: Bacterial small subunit ribosomal RNA
Source: RNAcentral